This 253-nucleotide ribosomal RNA is filed under the name uncultured bacterium. Its description in RNAcentral is "partial 16S ribosomal RNA". It matches the Rfam family "Bacterial small subunit ribosomal RNA", at positions 524 to 776 of the family's 1533-position model. The record is from RNAcentral.
UACGUAGGGUGCAAGCGUUAAUCGGAAUUACUGGGCGUAAAGCGUGCGCAGGCGGUUGUGCAAGACAGAUGUGAAAUCCCCGGGCCUAACCUGGGAAUUGCAUUUGUGUCUGUACGGCUAGAGUGUGUCAGAGGGGGGUAGAAUUCCACGUGUAGCAGUGAAAUGCGUAGAGAUGUGGAGGAAUACCGAUGGCGAAGGCAGCCCCCUGGGAUAACACUGACGCUCAUGCACGAAAGCGUGGGGAGCAAACAGG